UUUUUUUCUCUCUUUUUCUCUCUCGGCUAUCUCUCUCUCCUCCUCUCCUCCGAAAAACUCCCUCUUCUCUUCUCUCUUCGAUUUCAUCUACUUAGGGUGUGAUUCCGGACAAGGCCAGAGAAUUAAAGUUGUUAUACGGAGCACGAGCUUUCCAAAUAUCCAAGAAAAUUCAUGAUCGGACCUCGUUAGAGCUUGGUUGACUCGGUCAAAGGCUCGGAUUUUGCUCAAAACCCAUGAGGUUCAUUGCAGGUCAUGGUCAUGGUCAUGGAGUACUUGGAGUGCAUGCUGACAUUAUCGAUUAAAGCUAUUUUGGAGAGCACUUUAUUUUUCUUGUUUAACAAACGACUUUGUUAUGAAAUUCCUACUUUGAAAGAUUGUAUUUGUAGACCAAUUUAUGGAAUCGGAAACUGUAUUGUAUUUUGGGGUAUUGUACGUACGAUUGUGAGGACUUUGUAUUUCAAAUGGUAUUGUUAAUUUAUGUUGAAAAUCGAGGGCGUGACAACUUGGUAUCAGAGCAUUAGGUUUGAAUACCUAGAGACCGUGGGGAGACUUAGUCUCAGGGGUUCAAAAAAAAAAGUCAUUGCAUAUUUUUAACAAAACAUGAGUGUGCUUGCCUGACUGAUGUGUGUUCAUUGAUGUGGCAUUGCAUCUGUGUUUAUGCGAAUUGGUGGAAUGUGGUUGACUCAUGUAAAAAAAAGAAAAA
Long non-coding RNA from Rhododendron vialii, 703 nucleotides. RefSeq lists it as uncharacterized. Lineage: Eukaryota; Viridiplantae; Streptophyta; Magnoliopsida; Ericales; Ericaceae. The transcript is spliced from 2 exons. The record is from RefSeq and is a predicted model, not a curated record.